This 408-nucleotide ribosomal RNA is filed under the name uncultured Methylomirabilota bacterium. RNAcentral describes it as "bacterial SSU rRNA". It matches the Rfam family "Bacterial small subunit ribosomal RNA", at positions 1027 to 1434 of the family's 1533-position model. The record is from RNAcentral. Lineage: Bacteria; Methylomirabilota (SeqCode).
CGUGGAGACAGGUGGUGCAUGGCUGUCGUCAGCUCGUGUCGUGAGAUGUUGGGUUAAGUCCCGCAACGAGCGCAACCCUCACCUCUUGUUGCCAUCAGGUCAUGCUGGGCCCUCUAGAGGAACUGCCCCGGUCAACGGGGAGGAAGGCGGGGAUGACGUCAAGUCAUCAUGCCCCUUACGUCCUGGGCUACACACGUGCUACAAUGGCCGGUACAAAGGGAUGCCACACCGCGAGGUAGAGCUAAACCCAAAAAGCCGGUCUAAGUUCAGAUUGGAGUCUGCAACUCGACUCCAUGAAGGAGGAAUCGCUAGUAAUCGCGUAUCAGCACGACGCGGUGAAUACGUUCCCGGGCCUUGUACACACCGCCCGUCACACCACGAAAGCCUGCUGUACUCGAAGUCGCUGAG